Bombyx mori (domestic silkworm) is the source of this 742-nucleotide long non-coding RNA. RefSeq lists it as uncharacterized. NCBI's taxonomy places the organism in Eukaryota, Metazoa, Arthropoda, Insecta, Lepidoptera, Bombycidae. The record is from RefSeq and is a predicted model, not a curated record. The transcript is spliced from 2 exons.
UGUCAUUGUUAAUUAAAUUGGCUUUGAUUUUUGUUCCUUUUUUUCUUUAGACAAUUCAAUAUGUUAUGUAAUUUUUUACAAAUUUUAUUUUACUCUAUCUGCCUUUAGAUACGUGUAAAAUUAAACACUAGACUAAAAUAUGUAGGAAGUCGCGUGCAGCGUUAGAUUAUUUCUGCGCGGGCGGUUUAUUUCAGAUGCAGGAUGUAUCUACGCUCUCAAAUAAGCUUGUGGAUAAAUAAACACGAAAUGAGGUCUUUCCAACAGGAAAAUGAAAAUUAAGCAUCUAAAUUAAUCCUAAUUUAGUAGAUUUGUGUUAUUAAAUUGUAUUUGUGAAAUGAGAGCACAAGCACAAGUAAGAACUUCAGUUUGUCAAAUGAGAGCACAAGUAAAAACUUCAAGCGGGUAUUGCAUAGUUAUUACUGAAGCAAAUUAAAAAAACACGUGGAUGAAUCUGGAUAUACAAAGAUGUACAAAGAUUAGAGAUGGCCUACUAUGGAAUUGGUGCUCUAGAAAACUUAGCAUUAUUUCAUUAUUAAAUCAUAUAGAGCAAGACCGAGGGACUGCUGAUUAAUAGCCUUUGUAGCAGGCACUUGGAAGGAGAAAAAAAAUGUUACUAUAUAAAUUGUAUAUAAUGAUGUGUUGGACUUUUUAAUUUACUAACAUAGAUUAUAAGUAAUUCUUACUAACAAAAUGUUAUGGUUGUUAUGGAAAACUGAAAUAAAGUAUAAAUCUAUUAAAAAAA